GAAAUGCGAUAAGUAAUGUGAAUUGCAGAAUUCAGUGAAUCAUCGAAUCUUUGAACGCACAUUGCGCCCGCCAGCACUCUGGCGGGCAUGCCUGUUCGAGCGUCAUUUCAACCCUCAGAACCCCUUGCGGGAUCUGGCGUUGGGGAUUGGCAUCCAGCCAUCCCCGAAAUCUAGUGGCGGUCCCUCCGCGACCUCCCCUGUGCAGUAGCGAUACCUCGCAGCGGGACAGCGGUCUGACCACGCCGUAAAACCCCCAACUUCUCAAGGUUGACCUCGAAUCAGGUAGGAAUACCCGCUGAACUUAAGC
Molecule: unclassified non-coding RNA, 307 nt
Filed under: plant metagenome
Description: partial contains 5.8S ribosomal RNA, internal transcribed spacer 2, and large subunit ribosomal RNA
Rfam family: 5.8S ribosomal RNA (bases 1-105)
Source: RNAcentral